Molecule: ribosomal RNA, 253 nt
Filed under: uncultured bacterium
Lineage: Bacteria
Description: partial 16S ribosomal RNA
Rfam family: Bacterial small subunit ribosomal RNA
Source: RNAcentral
UACGAAGGGGGCUAGCGUUGCUCGGAAUCACUGGGCGUAAAGCGCACGUAGGCGGAUUGCUAAGUCAGGGGUGAAAUCCUGGAGCUCAACUCCAGAACUGCCUUUGAUACUGGGGAUCUCGAGUCCGGGAGAGGUGAGUGGAACUCCGAGUGUAGAGGUGAAAUUCGUAGAUAUUCGGAAGAACACCAGUGGCGAAGGCGGCUCACUGGCCCGGUACUGACGCUGAGGCGCGAAAGCGUGGGGAGCAAACAGG